This 329-nucleotide non-coding RNA is filed under the name Pteropus alecto (black flying fox). RNAcentral describes it as "TrkB IRES". It matches the Rfam family "TrkB IRES". From Rfam's summary of the family: This family represents the TrkB internal ribosome entry site (IRES) which is present in the 5' leader sequence of the mRNA. TrkB is a neurotrophin receptor which is essential for the development and maintenance of the nervous system. Lineage: Eukaryota; Metazoa; Chordata; Mammalia; Chiroptera; Pteropodidae. The record is from Rfam by way of RNAcentral.
UCCCAGUGCGCGUCUAGCAAGGAGCCUGCGCCCCAGAGUAUCCCGGUAGCGCCGCGGGCCGGUGCUCGGCGCGCCGGGCCAUGCAGCGGCGGCCGCGGCGGAGUUCCCAGUGCCGGUAGCGCCCCUCUGAGGCAGUCUGAGAUGCCCCGGCCACUGUGAACGGUGCUGCCCACCAGGACACGCUCAGUCCCGGACGUACUCGGUUCUGAGCGCCCGCGACCAGCACCGAAUAGAGCUGCGAGCGCGGCAAAGACUGCCCAGCACGGGCAGGGGAAGCUGGCUGGUGGCAGCCCAGGGACACGUACUUAGUCUGACUCGGGCUGGCACUG